GGCCUGGCGUGCUCUGUUCCAUGGGGUCACGAAGAGUCGGACAUGACUUAAUGACGAAACAAAAAUAAUAACAUUUAGUUGCAACCUCACGGUCCAGAACGACCUCCACCUCCUGCAUGGCUGUAAAAUGAAGAGGGUUUGGAACUGGAAGCUAGGUUGGACCUUCUAGAACUGACUAGCAGCCUCUCUGGGGUCAGGCAAAAGAUGAAAGUUCCUUUUUGCUGCCCCUGUUUUUCUUGAAACGGGACACAUGCAUUGACAGAGUGACAGGAGCCUCGAAUAGCUUUCUAGGGUAGAGCACUGUGCAUCCGUGCCAGCAAACUCUGAUGUUGCUUCUGGGCUACAGGCAUUCCUUUGAGGAACAACCUGCUUUUUCUCCCACCCACGAGAUUUCUUCUAGUUCUUCUCCAAGGUAUUUCUAUAUGCUACGGGGGCACUGAGGCUACAAACACCCUGAUAUUCAGCUAUGAGGAUCUUCUUUGGUCUGUCUCUUUUUCUCUUAUUAAUGCUGCCAGCUUUGUCCAGAAAAUGCCCAGAAGGUGUGUGCCGACAAAAAUGGUGCUACAGGGAAGAAAGGCACUGGGGAGUGUGCCCUUAUGAUCGGACAAAGAUCUUCUGCUGUUUUUGGAACUAUUGGAAUUAGCCACCUGGGAAAAGCAUCAAGGGCACCCACUGCCCUUAAUGAAUCCUAUAACUUCCUUUUGGCACAAGCUCUUUCUUCAAGGCCAGCUUCAUAAACCUGCGCAUUAGGACUCACCAGGCAGUCAAAUAAAAGCAAAGUGGUUGUGCGCA
This 792-nucleotide long non-coding RNA is filed under the name Pogona vitticeps (central bearded dragon). RNAcentral describes it as "lncRNA (ENSPVIG00000004204.1)". Lineage: Eukaryota; Metazoa; Chordata; Lepidosauria; Squamata; Agamidae. The record is from RNAcentral.